GAGUAGGUCCACGUGCGUCCCUCCCGAAGCUGCGCUCUCGGUCGAAGAGGAUGACCUUCCCCGAUAGAGAUGGUACUGUUCAUGGAUCAAGGGUAUCUGGUAGCUGCACUCCCCUGCUAGAACCUCCAAACAAGACCAAGGUCCAUUUGUAGGAGAAUGUAAGGUUGUCAAGCUUCGAAGACUGCAGACACAUCCAAGUGAGGUACUUCAUGGGGCAGUCUGCCAUCAUUU
This 231-nucleotide small nuclear RNA is filed under the name Dryobates pubescens (Downy woodpecker). RNAcentral describes it as "Picoides pubescens (downy woodpecker) 7SK RNA". It matches the Rfam family "7SK RNA". From Rfam's summary of the family: 7SK was discovered as an abundant small nuclear RNA in the mid-70s but a possible function has only recently been suggested. Lineage: Eukaryota; Metazoa; Chordata; Aves; Piciformes; Picidae. The record is from Rfam by way of RNAcentral.